This 429-nucleotide ribosomal RNA is filed under the name bacterium. Its description in RNAcentral is "partial 16S ribosomal RNA". It matches the Rfam family "Bacterial small subunit ribosomal RNA", at positions 355 to 776 of the family's 1533-position model. The record is from RNAcentral.
UAGGGAAUCUUCCACAAUGGACGCAAGUCUGAUGGAGCAACGCCGCGUGAGUGAAGAAGGUUUUCGGAUCGUAAAGCUCUGUUGUUGGUGAAGAAGGAUAGAGGCAGUAACUGGUCUUUAUUUGACGGUAAUCAACCAGAAAGUCACGGCUAACUACGUGCCAGCAGCCGCGGUAAUACGUAGGUGGCAAGCGUUGUCCGGAUUUAUUGGGCGUAAAGCGAGCGCAGGCGGAAUGAUAAGUCUGAUGUGAAAGCCCACGGCUCAACCGUGGAACUGCAUCGGAAACUGUCAUUCUUGAGUGCAGAAGAGGAGAGUGGAAUUCCAUGUGUAGCGGUGGAAUGCGUAGAUAUAUGGAAGAACACCAGUGGCGAAGGCGGCUCUCUGGUCUGCAACUGACGCUGAGGCGCGAAAGCAUGGGUAGCGAACAGG